UAAAACGAUGAGUGCUAAGUGUUGGAGGGUUUCCGCCCUUCAGUGCUGCAGAUAACGCAUUAAGCACUCCGCCUGGGGAGUACGACCGCAAGGUUGAAACUCAAAGGAAUUGACGGGGGCCCGCACAAGCGGUGGAGCAUGUGGUUUAAUUCGAUGAUACGCGAAGAACCUUACCAGGUCUUGACAUCUUCUGCCAACCUAAGAGAUUAGGCGUUCCCUUCGGGGACAGAAUGACAGGUGGUGCAUGGUUGUCGUCAGCUCGUGUCGUGAGAUGUUGGGUUAAGUCCCGCAACGAGCGCAACCCUUAUUGUUAGUUGCCAGCAUUCAGUUGGGCACUCUAGCAAGACUGCCGGUGACAAACCGGAGGAAGGUGGGGAUGACGUCAAAUCAUCAUGCCCCUUAUGACCUGGGCUACACACGUGCUACAAUGGACGGUACAACGAGUCGCGAAACCGCGAGGUCAAGCUAAUCUCUUAAAGCCGUUCUCAGUUCGGAUUGUAGGCUGCAACUCGCCUACAUGAAGUUGGAAUCGCUAGUAAUCGUGGAUCAGCAUGCCACGGUGAAUACGUUCCCGGGCCUUGUACACACCGCCCGUCACACCAUGAGAGUUUGUAACACCCAAAGCCGGUGAGGUAACCUU
Molecule: ribosomal RNA, 640 nt
Filed under: uncultured Lactobacillus sp.
Lineage: Bacteria; Bacillati; Bacillota; Bacilli; Lactobacillales; Lactobacillaceae
Description: bacterial SSU rRNA
Rfam family: Bacterial small subunit ribosomal RNA
Source: RNAcentral